This 194-nucleotide ribosomal RNA is filed under the name uncultured bacterium. RNAcentral's name for it is "partial 16S ribosomal RNA". It matches the Rfam family "Bacterial small subunit ribosomal RNA", at positions 524 to 719 of the family's 1533-position model. The record is from RNAcentral.
UACGGAGGGGGCUAGCGUUGUUCGGAAUUACUGGGCGUAAAGCGCUCGUAGGCGGAUUGGUCAGUCAGAGGUGAAAGCCCAGGGCUCAACCUGGAACUGCCUUUGAUACUGCCAGUCUAGAGUUCGGGAGAGGUGAGCGGAAUUCCGAGUGUAGAGGUGAAAUUCGUAGAUAUUGGAGGAAACACCAGAGCGAA